Molecule: transfer RNA, 85 nt
Filed under: Felis catus (domestic cat)
Lineage: Eukaryota; Metazoa; Chordata; Mammalia; Carnivora; Felidae
Rfam family: tRNA
About the family: Transfer RNA (tRNA) molecules are approximately 80 nucleotides in length. Their secondary structure includes four short double-helical elements and three loops (D, anti-codon, and T loops).
Source: Rfam by way of RNAcentral
GCCUGAGUGGCUCAGUUGGUUGGGUGUCCGACUUCCGCUCAGGUCAUGAUCUCCCGGUUUGUGGGUUCAAGCCCCGCGUCAGGCU